UAGCUGAGUGGUAAAGUGCUAGGCUUUUGAACCGGAGGGUCCCAGGUUCUAAUCCUGG
Molecule: transfer RNA, 58 nt
Filed under: Biomphalaria glabrata
Lineage: Eukaryota; Metazoa; Mollusca; Gastropoda; Planorbidae
Rfam family: tRNA
About the family: Transfer RNA (tRNA) molecules are approximately 80 nucleotides in length. Their secondary structure includes four short double-helical elements and three loops (D, anti-codon, and T loops). Further hydrogen bonds mediate the characteristic L-shaped molecular structure. tRNAs have two regions of fundamental functional importance: the anti-codon, which is responsible for specific mRNA codon recognition, and the 3' end, to which the tRNAs corresponding amino acid is attached (by aminoacyl-tRNA synthetases). tRNAs cope with the degeneracy of the genetic code in two manners: having more than one tRNA (with a specific anti-codon) for a particular amino acid; and 'wobble' base-pairing, i.e. permitting non-standard base-pairing at the 3rd anti-codon position.
Source: Rfam by way of RNAcentral